CUGAGGACUCAUGCCUGUGGUCAAAUUGUGACUUCUGUCUUGGGUUCUCUCUUAUAAGGCAACCCAUGGAGAGACCAUAUGGGUGAUUUUCCAUUCCUGGUGAAGUGGCCGCAGUGAGGGUCACCGGGACUAUCCCUCAGGCAUCAGGAAAAAUACAGACCCAAACAGAAGCAGUGUCUGCCCACGGGCCAGCAAGUGCCGAAAUAUCACGGGUCCUGUUCUGAUGAGGGGAUCUCCUCCCUUAGGUUAGCAGCUCUGAUGAUCUGAUUUCGUCAACCCAAAGCUGAAGUUGUUGAUUGAGCUCUCAGCGUUGACAUGAGGAGUCCAUGAAACAAUCUACAGGAAGGCACCCCAAACGAAGCCUGGCUGGGAGUAGACAUUCAAUAGGGCAUGGCACCCUGCCUUCCAGAGACAAGGUUCCCAACAACUGUGCUGAAUGAAUGGAGGAAAAAUGAACCCAAACCAGGAAUACAAAUCCUUGUGUGUGAACAUAAACCUACUUCCAAAAUUCUUGAGGAAUCCCUAACUCAAGUCCCCCAAGUCCUGUUUGGUUGUGCACAGAAAGAGAUAUUACAAGAGGAGCCGUGGGAACCUGAAAAAAUGAAUGGGGAGUGGCAGUCCCUUCUUAUUAAUGU
Molecule: long non-coding RNA, 635 nt
Filed under: Homo sapiens (human)
Lineage: Eukaryota; Metazoa; Chordata; Mammalia; Primates; Hominidae
Description: HSALNT0025132
Source: RNAcentral